Long non-coding RNA from Amblyraja radiata (thorny skate), 1806 nucleotides. RefSeq lists it as uncharacterized. NCBI's taxonomy places the organism in Eukaryota, Metazoa, Chordata, Chondrichthyes, Rajiformes, Rajidae. The transcript has 2 exons. The record is from RefSeq and is a predicted model, not a curated record.
CUUUCCUACACAACCCAUUUACAGUGUACUAAUCACAAAAGAUCAUCGACACACUAUUGCCCUUUAGCGAACAUUGGUUCAUUUUCCAUUUCACCUUCCCGUGUUUUCUCCUCAUUCUUUUCAACCUUAUCCCUUCAUGUCCACCUAUUUGAUCCAACUACUAGUCAGAUGCCUGCAUUUUAAUACUUGGGAAACGGAAGGCAAACCGAAAUUCAGUUGCAACAUUUGUACAAUUAGGAGCAUUGAAAAAUAAUAUGGAUUGGUUAUUGACAAUAUGGUCAAUCAGUAUGAUUAUUUAUGACUGAUUAUUGAUAAGCUGCUGGUCCUGCAUCAUGCUAUUGACUGUUUGAUUAUUGAUUAAUGCUUAGCUCAAGAUAUGAGUUAAGGUUGAGAUAGGUGGUUGUGGUUAGGUUUAGGGGCACGGCUUAAUAUUAGAGGCAGGACUAUGCUGUUAUGGUUGUGAUUAGUUUGCAUCAGGACUAUGGGAUGGUGCUAUUAUACUAAACCCGAUUGGAAAUGUGGUGUCAGUCGCAGCAAGUUACACAGAAGCACAAAGACUGCAGAUGAUGGACUAUUGAAUACAAGCCAGAUGCUGGUGGAGUUCAGCAUGUUGAGCAGCAUCUAUGGAGGGAAAAGGACUGAUAAUAUAUUUAGUUUAGACUGCCAGGACAAAGUUUCCAAUCAGGACACAUCUUCAGACUCAACAGAUGAUGUUUCAGGUCAACACUCCAACAUUUUUGGGGUAAGGCAACACCAGUCAGUGCUCUUGUGAAUAUUUUCAUUCCUCCUUAAGGGACAAAAAAAAUCAUGCCUCCCUUUUCCACAAACCACAGUGAUCAUUCUGAAUAGUUUGGCUCAUGAAAGGUCACAACCUGAAACCUCGUCUGUUCAUUUCCCUCUGCAGAUGCUGCCUGUCCCACUGAGUUCAUUCAAUGCUUGUAGCAAGUAACAUGUUGUCACUGGACAUGCCCAGCAGUGAAACACAUAUCUAAAAAUUUGGCCUAAGCUAAAUUGUGACAUGCACUUUUACCCAACUUACAAAAAAAAAGUGAUUGUGCUUCUCCCUCAUAAAUAAUAGAACAGAUGUCAGUGGAAGAUGGGCGAGUGAAAGUACUGGAAAUAACACCAAACAAAAAUAGUUGUUAAAUUUUCAUUAAGAACUUUUUGUGAGGAUGUAGAUUUCUGAUUUUGUAUUAGUUUUCUAGCAUUUAUUUUAUCUCAAUGAGAAAUACUAAGAAUGAACAAAUAUUCUGGUAUUGCAAAACAAUGGGAGUAAAUAGGCACAGGUGUAUUGUUAACUUUCUAUAAUGGCCUUGGAAUAUUGUUAUAUUACAGUUUAGAAAAAAAUAUUGUCUUUUAUAUCUUUUUGCUCUCAAAUACAUUCCAGUUUUCUCAUAGUCUUCUUAUUUAAUAUCUUGUAGUGCUUUUUAAAUUUAGACAAGAGCCAAAAUUGUACAGUAUUUUCCAGUUUUAUGAAUGGAGGCGAUCACAGUUCUAUUCUUGCUCUAAUAAACAGCACCAUCCCUGCCCCCAUUGAUUUAAAAAAAACACUGGGAUUUGCAUGGAAAUGUUGCAUUAGAUAUAUACUAAUUUGAUGUUGCAAUGAUUAACUAAUGUUGCAAUUGUUAACACCAAGUUUGUAUACCUUUGUCUGUGUGUGUGUGUGUGUGUGUGUGUGCGCGUGUGUGUGUGCGUGUGCCUGUGGGGAUGUGUGUGUGAGUGUUUAUAUUUAAAUCGGAGAAUGCAAUUUCCAUGUUGUAUAUGUGCAACAUUGAUGUAUUUGUCCUGGCAAAUAAACCUUUGUUU